UAUGCACAGAUUGCGUAGAAAUUGCUUUUUAGAUUUCAAAGAUCCAUGGCCAACAAAGAAAUUAUUGAUAGGCCUAUAUCACAUUGCUGUUUGGGACACCUACCCAAAGUCCAAGCUCUUGUUAAAGAAUUGAUUUUAUUUAUAUACAUUCUUGCUGGCGUUAAAUAUUUAUUAUCAGUUUUGCAAUUAAUCUUUACUUUCUUUGUAUUAAUGAUGGAUUGGUAGUCCUUUUGUAGACUUCUUUGUAUAAUUGGGAAUUCAACAAAAUUGUCAUCAAAGUUGUGUAAUGACUUUUUAAGCAUAAUAAAUCACUCAACGAAGCUGUUUUAAAGGGAAAGAGUCGCACUUCACAGAGGAAAGUUGGGCUAAAGGAUAAAUGAAACUGAAAUAAAAACUCAUCCAUCCGUGAAGGGACCCCGCCAUUGGUUUCACGCUCAUAUUCACCGGCGCAUUCACUGUGUACACACGACGCUCGACUAAUAGUGAACUCGCACAAAAAAGCAAUAUUAAAUCUGUUUUUGAUAAUGUGGUCACUUCCCGGGGACAACAAGCACGGUAUUGUGGUCGUACUUACUGUUCUCUGUGUCGGGCAUUAUGUGUAUUGGUACGAAGACAUUAACUCGGGUCUCCACAAAAGAAAAGCUAUUGUACGCUCAACUAACAAUAAUUUCAGUCUGGUAAAAGCAA
This is a long non-coding RNA of Magallana angulata, 687 nucleotides long. RefSeq lists it as uncharacterized. The record is from RefSeq and is a predicted model, not a curated record. The transcript has 3 exons. NCBI's taxonomy places the organism in Eukaryota, Metazoa, Mollusca, Bivalvia, Ostreida, Ostreidae.